GUCCACGCCCUAAACGAUGUCAACUGGUUGUUGGGAGGGUUUCUUCUCAGUAACGAAGCUAACGCGUGAAGUUGACCGCCUGGGAGUACGGCCGCAAGGUUGAAACUCAAAGGAAUUGACGGGACCCGCACAAGCGGUGGAUGAUGUGGUUUAAUUCGAUGCAACGCGAAAACCUUACCUACCCUUGACAUGUCAGAGAUCCUGUAGAGAUGUGGAAGUGCUCGAAAGAGAACCAGAACACAGGUGCUGCAUGGCCGUCGU
RNAcentral lists this ribosomal RNA (261 nucleotides) under uncultured bacterium. Its description in RNAcentral is "partial 16S ribosomal RNA". It matches the Rfam family "Bacterial small subunit ribosomal RNA", at positions 793 to 1055 of the family's 1533-position model. The record is from RNAcentral.